Coregonus clupeaformis (lake whitefish) is the source of this 281-nucleotide long non-coding RNA. RefSeq lists it as uncharacterized. Lineage: Eukaryota; Metazoa; Chordata; Actinopteri; Salmoniformes; Salmonidae. The record is from RefSeq and is a predicted model, not a curated record. The transcript has 3 exons.
AGAGGAUCUUCAGAGAAGAAUGGGAGAAACUCUCCAAAUACAGGUGCUACAGAGACAGAAUAUUCCAAGGACCUCCAGAGCCUUCUGACCAACUAUCUGCGGUCUCUCCAGAGCACAGAGAAGUGAGUCUGCUGUGCCAUGGAACUCUAGAGCAGCAUAUAAAAAAAACACGCCAACAUGUUGUCAGCAGGCCGUUCCGAGGAAGGAUACAACGGUCAAGGCUUUCAAUGGCCGAAUUUGGGGGAUGACUAAAUGCAAUAAAGCUGUGUAUAAACUAUGAA